Molecule: ribosomal RNA, 388 nt
Filed under: uncultured bacterium
Lineage: Bacteria
Description: bacterial SSU rRNA
Rfam family: Bacterial small subunit ribosomal RNA
Source: RNAcentral
GACGAACGCUGGCGGCGUGCUUAACACAUGCAAGUCGAGCGGUAAGGCCCUUUCGGGGGUACACGAGCGGCGAACGGGUGAGUAACACGUGGGUGACCUGCCCUCAGCUCUGGGAUAAGCCUGGGAAACCGGGUCUAAUACCGGAUAUGACUCCAUGACGCAUGUCGUGGGGUGGAAAGCCUUGUGCGGCUGAGGAUGGGCCCGCGGCCUAUCAGCUUGUUGGUGGGGUGAUGGCCUACCAAGGCGACGACGGGUAGCCGGCCUGAGAGGGCGACCGGCCACACUGGGACUGAGACACGGCCCAGACUCCUACGGGAGGCAGCAGUGGGGAAUCUUGCGCAAUGGGCGAAAGCCUGACGCAGCGACGCCGCGUGAGGGAUGACGGCCU